This is a long non-coding RNA of Loxodonta africana (African savanna elephant), 10329 nucleotides long. RefSeq lists it as uncharacterized. The record is from RefSeq and is a predicted model, not a curated record. The transcript is spliced from 2 exons. Lineage: Eukaryota; Metazoa; Chordata; Mammalia; Proboscidea; Elephantidae.
UGCUGCGCGCCUGCGCGAACGAGUCAGGACGUCCGCUCCCCUGGCGGACGCAGGCGUAACGACGACGUAAUGACGUAACUGUACAGGACGGCGGGGCCGCGGUGGCUGCCAGGACAUGUAGUCUUAAGCAAGAAACCGGCCAGCUCCAGCAGAAUCCGGGAGCAGCGACAGUGACCGAAACCGAACCUGAGGUCCUCAAGCAGACGUACCCCUGCAGCGCCUCUUCUGGGAGUGUGGAUUUCACCCUGCUGUGUUCUGAGUCGACCUAUCUCGCUGUACUCAAGUGACUCCCCAGAGGUUCUAGAAACCUCCCCACACACAACGUCAGAUUGAGUCUUAAUGUGAUGCCUUUAGGGAAAUGUAGUCCGAGGCCAGAAACGCUGCGGCAGACUGGGAGGCAGGGUCCAGAUUUCUCUCAGAGCUCUGGCCUGUACGCAGUGACCGCGAGAGCUGGGUUGCUAAGCAGCUCGAAGGGGUCAGACUGUGUGUGUUUGUGUUUCCCAGUGCCCUCUGCCGUGGUGGAGGUGAGGAAGGGAGGACGGUGGUGUGUGUUCAGGCUGUGCUUGAGCCUGUGAGAGGGAAUAAGUGGAUAAGUGUGAUCCAUUUCGGAUUGUGUUUGGUGGUAUGGGAAACGAGGUGAAACUGUGCACCAGAGAUUUGUUAAUAAGCACAAUUAAACCCAUGCACACCUUGCCUUAAAUUCAGGUGGAAUAUACUCAAGGUCAUAGUUUGGUUCUCAGGGACUUGCUCUGAUUUUCUUCAGUUUCAGCUUGAACUUGCAAAUGAGCAAUUGAUGGUCUGUUCCACAGUUGGCCCCUGGCCUUGUUCUGACUGAUGAUAUUGAGCUUUUCCAUUGUCUCUUUCCACAGGUGUAGUCAAUUUGAUUUCUGUGUGUUCCAUCUGGCAAGGUCCAUGUGUAUAGCCACCGUUUAUGUUGCUGAAAGAAGGUAUUUCCAAUGAAGAAGUCAAUGGUCUUGAGAAAUUCUAUCAUUCAGUCUCCAGCAUUGUUUCUGUCACCAAGGCCGUAUUUUCCAAAUACUGAUCCUUCUUCUUAGUUUACAACUUUCGCAUUCCAAUCGCCAGUAAUUAUCAAUUCAUCUUGAUUGCAUGUUCGAUCAAUUUCAGACUGCAGUAGCUGAUAAAAAAUCUUCUAUUUCUUCAUCUUUGGCCCUAGUGGUUGGUGUGUAAAUUAGAAUAAUAGUCAUAUUAACUGGUCUUCCUUGUAGGCAUAUGGAUAUUAUCCUAUCACUGACAGCGUUGUACUUCAGGAUAGAUCUUGAAACAUUCUUUUUGAGGAUGAAUGCAACACCAUUCCUCUUCAAGUUGUCAUUCCCCGCAUAGUAGGCUAUGUGAUUGUCCAAUUCAAAACAGCCAAUACCAGUACAUUUCAGCUCACUAAUGCCUAGAAUAUUGAUGUUUAUGCAUUGCAUUCCAUUUUUGACGAUUUCCAAUUUUCCUAGAUUCAUACUUUGUACAUUCCAGGUUCCAAUUAUUAAUGGAUGUUUGCAGCUGUUGUUUCUCAUUUUGAGUCCCGCCACAUCAGCGAAUGAAGGUCCUGAAAGCUUUACUCCAUCCACAUCAUUAAGGUCGACUCUACUUAGAGGAGGCAGCUCUUCCUCAGUCAUCUUUUGAGUGCCUUCCAACCUGGGGGGCUCAUCUUCCAGCACUAUAUCGGACAAUGUUCCGCUGCUAUUCAUAAGGUUUUCACUGGCAGAAUUUAGCGCAUGCUAAAACACUGUGUCUAUGGGGAGACUGGGAACACUACAUGCAUGCUUAGGAAAAAACGGAUGCUCAUCAAACACCUAAGAAGAACCUAUCCUUUGGCCUCAGACUGACCCUGAAGCACAGAUCAAAGUUGCAAAGACAGGUUUUUUUUUGUAUGUUUGUAUUUUUUUUCUUUUCUUCUAUUUUUUCUCUUCUUUUUGUUGUCUCUUCUGUUAUGUCCAUUUUCCUUUUUUGUCUUUGUUUAGUGCAAGGAAAUAUCUUUUGAAAUACCAGUGUGAACAGGCUGGGGAACAGAGUCCUCAGGUCCAUGCACAUAGACACCAGUCAUUUAAAAAAUAUGUAGGAUGGUUCCUGAAAAAGUAGAACAUAGAACUACCAUAUGACCCAGCAAUCCUAGAUAUAUACCCAAAAUAUUUGAAAGCAGGAAUGCCAAGGGAAACCUGUACACCAAUGAUCAUUGCAGCACUUUUCACGGUAGCCAGAAGGUGGAAACAACUGAAAUGUCCGACAACAGGUGAAUGGAUAAACAAAAUGUGGUAUAUAAACAUAAUGGUACAUGCCUUGGUCAUCUACUGCUACCAUAACAGAAAUACCAUAAGUGGGUGGCUUUAACAAAGAGAAAUUUAUUUCCUCACAAUAAAGUUGGCUAAAAGUCCAAAUUCAAGACAACAGCUCCAGGAGAGGCUUUCAGUCUCUGUCGGCUCUGGAAGAAGGUCCUUGCCCUCAAUCUUCCCCUGGUCGAAGAGCUUCUCAGGUGCAGGGACCCCGGGUCCAGUGGACACGCUGUGCUCCUGGUGCUACUUUCUUGGUGGUAUGAGGUCCCCAACUCUCUCCUUGUUUCCCUUUAUCUCUUGAGAGAGAGAAAGUGGUACAGGCUGCACCAAAGGGAAACUCCCUUUAUCUUGGAUCGGGGGGUGACCUGAGUGAGGGUGGUGUUAUCCAACCCUAACCCUUUUAACAUAAAAUUACAAUCAUAAAUGGAGGACAACCACUCAAUACUGGGAAGCAUGGCCUAACCAACUUGAUACACACAUUUUUCGGGGGACAUAAUUCAAUCCAUGACAGUAUACUACUCAGCCAUAAAGAGAAAUGAAGUCCUGAUGCAUGCUACGAUAUUAUGUUGAGUGAAAUAAGUCAGUUCCAAAGGAUAAAUACUGUAUGGUGAUGAAUCUGUGAAACAUUUCAUAACACGGAGGAACCUGGAAGGCAUUAUGCUGAGUGAAAUUAGUUGCAAAAGGACAAAUAUUAUAUAAGACCACUAUUAUAAGAUCUCGAGAAAUAGUUUAAACUGAGAAGAACACAUUCUUUUGUGGUUACAAGAGGGGGCAAGGAGGAAAGAUGGGAGGAGGUAUUUACCAAUUAGAUAGCAGAUACCUACUUUAGGUGAAGGGAAGGACAGCACUCAAUACAGAGGAGGUCAGCACAACUGGACUAAACCAAAAGCAAAGAGGUUUUCUGAAUAAACUGAAUGCUUCCAAGGUCGGCGAAGCAGGGGCAGGGGUUUGGAGACCAUGGUUUCAGGGGACAUCUAAGUCAAUUGGAAAAACAAAAUCUAUUAAGAAAACCUCCUGCAUCCCACUUUGAAGAGUGGCGUCUGGGGGUCUUAAAGGCUAGCAAGCGGCCAUCUAAGAUGCAUCAAUCAGUUUCAACGCACCUGGAUGAAAGGAGAAUAAACAACACCAAGGACACAAGGUGAUUAUGAGCCCGAGACAGAAAGGGCUACAUGAACCAGAGACUACAUCAUCCUGAGACCAGAAGAACUAGAUGGUGCCCAGCCACAACUGAUAACUACCCUGACAGGGAACACAACAGAGAACCCCUGAGGGCGCAGGGAAACAGUGGGGUGCAGACCCCAAAACCUUGUAAAAAGACCAGACUUAAUUGACUGAGACUAGAAAGGCCCCGGCAGUCAUGGUCCCCUAACCUUCUGUUGGCCCAGGACAGGAACCAUAUGUGAAGCCAACUGAUCAGACAUGGAUUGGACUGCACGAUGGGUUGGAGACAGAUGCUGCUGAGGAGUGAGCUACUUACAUCCGGUGGACACUUGAGACUGUGUUGGUAUCUCCUGUCUGGAGGGGAGAUGGGAGGGUACAGAGGGUUAGAGGCUGGCAAUAUGGUCAUGAAAAGAGAGACCAGGACUUCAGUCUAGUUAUAGGCCUAGAAGCAACAAUGAGUGUUGGGAAUGUGUCUGGAGAACAUUCAGCAAUGUCUUGUAAGACAUCUGCCUUAAGGGAUGAUGCCCCAGGCAGUGACUCAGACAUCACCCUAGUGGACGACUGAGACAAAGGCUCUUCAGACACAACUGGGUUAAUCUCAGCAGAUGGGGUCUGAGGGGCUAACAGUUUUCCUGGGGAGGGUGGUUUAGCAGCCAAACAUGGAGUAAUCCCUUCAGGCGGGAGCUGCUAUUUGGUGAUGGCCUUGCUAUUCCUCAAUGAAACUCAUUUUCUUUCACUCCUAAUAGAGUGUGGGAUUUUGUUCUUCAACAACACAAACAAACAGAAAACAUGACCAGAGCCUUUGCAGCAGCAAAUUAGCUAGGAGAAGAUUAUAAUGUAAUGCUUUCAAGUUCUGAUUUAAAGUAGAAUUCUAACCCAGGCAAAAUGUGAGGGCAAUCAAGGCAUUUCCAGACAAGUAAGUAAGAACUUAAACAUCUACUUGCAAGGCAUGCACCUUGAGGAAACUGUUGGAGAAAGGAAAUCGGCACAAAGGACUGAUGAGAAAAAAAAAAAAAAAAGACUGUUUAGGAAUAGAAAAUAAAAACAGACAUCUGAUCUGUCUGUAAAGAGACUAAAGUAACUCUAAGCGCUCAAUGUAGUCUUUCACCUUAGGUUUGGCGUUGGCUGUCUAGCAGCUCCAGGUAAGCUUUCCCCCAGGUUCUACCUUCCUUCCCUAGGAAUCAACCCAUCACCAUGAAGGAAAUGAGUUGCUUUGCGGAUCAGGCUAAAGAAUGUGAAGACUUAAGGCAAACUUUUGGUAUCAGCCUCCUCAGGUUUCUGACAUGCCCAGCAAAGUGAGAGAUCAUUGAAACUCCUUGUUUCCAUUCUCAUCUGGAGAGCUAACAUUCUGAGCAACGUGAUUGUUAACCAACCAGUCUUGAGAAUAUCCGUCCUGUGGCUGCUUUGUAACCAAGGUGAAACCCCCUUGAUCUCCUGUCUUUCAAUUGUGUCUUGUAGCCAGUCAAUCGACUCACGUAAGCAAUAAUGACAACGAUUGUGCUUUACUUGUCGCGCCUUUGACUGACCUUCGUCACUGUGAACCAACAAGAAAAACUGUAAUUUUAUUCUCCCCCUUCAGCACUCUGAUUACUCCUGAUUUGCCUUCUUCCCCUGAGAUUCCGGAACGUCAGCCUGAGACUUUGCGAUCUCCCACUGCCACGUCUCCGCUGCAAUAAAUCUCUUUCGAUAUUACCUUAAGGGAGCUGGAAAGUCUUUUCUCUCCAACAUUUUGGCGUAGUUAAUCGGCAGGGUUUUUGAAGUUACCCUUCCCCCGGAGACCCGAAGACCUGAAACACGGGACUCUGGCACCCAGGGCCCCUCUGUGUGCCCCUCCCUGCAGCUUUUUCGGACCCUUCUGGCUGUCUGGGGGGAGAAGGGAGCAGAGAGACUGGAGGACUUCAUUACCACCAAGCAGAAGAGCCAGGAGCAUUUGCUUUGAACCAGGGGCCCCUGCACUGAGAAGCUGCUAGAUCUGGGGAAGACUGAUGACAAGGACCUUCUCCCAGAGCCAACAGAGAGAGAAAGACUUUCCUAGGAGCUGACGCCCUGAAUUCAGACUUCUAGUCUCCUAGACUGUGAGAGAAUAAAUUACUCUUUGUAAAAGCCAUCCACGUGUGGUAUUUCUGUUGUAACAACACUAGAUGACUCAAAUAAAACAUGGGUAAAGAACUUGAAUAGACAUUGCUCCCAAGAAAAAUAUACAAAUGUCCAAUAACCACAUGAAAGUAUGCUCAAUAUCUUUUGUCAUUGUUGCUGUUGUUGUUAGGUGCCCGUGAGUCAGUCAGUUCCAACUCAUAGUGACCCUACGAACAACAAAAGAAAACACUGCCUGGUCCUAUACCAUCCUCACAACCACUGUUAUGCUUGGGCCCAUUGUUGCAGCCACUCUGACAAUCCAUCUCAUUGAGGGUCUUCUUUCUUGCUAAUCCUCUACUUUAGCAAGCAUGAUGUCCUUUUCCAGGGACUGAUCCCUCCUGAUAACAUGUCCAAAGUAAAUGAGACUUAGUCUUGCCAUCUUAGCCUCCAAGACGCAUUCUGGUUGUACUUCUUCCAAGACAGAUUUCUUUGUCCUUUUGGCAGUCCAUGGUUUAUUCGAUACUGUUUGCCAAAAGCAUAAUUGAAAAGUAUCAAUUCUUCUUUGAUCUUCCUUAUUAAUUGUCCAGCUUUCACAUGCAUAUGAGAAGAUUGAAACACAAUGGCUUGGGUCACACACACCAUAGUCUUCAAGGCAAUGUCUUUGCUUUUCAACACUUAAAGAGUGUUCUAAGUUUUUUUUUUUUUUUUGCAUCAGAUUUGCCCAGUGCAAUCCGACAUUUGAUUUCUUGACUGCUACUUCCAUGGGUGUUGAUUGUGAAUCCAUGUGAAGCGAAAUCCUUGACAAUUUCAAUCUUUUUUUUUUUUUUAUCAUGAUGUUGCUUAUUGGUCCAUUUGUGAGGAUUUUUGUUGUAUGUUGAGGUGUGAUCAAUCCAUACUGAAGGCUGUGGUCUUUGGUCUUCAUCAGUAAGUGCUUCAAGUACUCUUCACUUUCAGCAAGCAAGGUUGUAUCAUCGGCAUAACACAGGUUGUUAGUGAAUCUUUCUCUAAUACUGAUGCCCCGUGUUUGUUCAUAUACCCCAGAUUCUCAGAUUAUUUGCUCAGCAUACAUAUUGAACAGGUCAGUCGAAAGGAUACAACCCUGACGCACACCUUUACUGACUUUAAACCACACAGCAUCCCUUUGUUCUGUUCGAAUGACUGCCAGUUGCUGUGUGUACAAGUUCUUCAUGAGCACAAUCGACUGUGCCAGAAUUUCGCAUCUUCGCAAAGUUAUCCAUAAUUUUUUAUCACCCACACAGUCGAAUGCCUUUGCAUAGUCAAUAAAACAGAGGUAAACAUCUUUCCGGUAUUCUCUGCUUUCAGCCAGGAUCCAUCUGACAUCAGCAAUGAUAUCCCUGGUUUCACGUCCUCUUCUGAAUCCAGCUUAAAUUUCUGGUAGUUCUCUGUGCAUAUACUGCUACAGCUGAUCUUCAGCAAAAAUGUACUUGGGUGUGAUAUUAAUGAUACCGUUCGAUAAUUUCUGCAUUCUGUUGGAUCACCUUUCUUGGGAAUAGGCAUAAAGAUGGUCGGCCAGGCAGCUGUCUUCCAAAUUUCUUGGCAUAGACAAGCGAGCACUUCCAGCACUGAAUCUGUUUGUUGAAGCAUCCCAGUUGAUAUUCUGUCCAUUCCUGGAGCCUUGUUUUUUGCCAGAGCCUUCAGUGCAGCUUGGACUCUCUCUCGGCUCUGGAGGAAGGUCCUUCUCCUCAAUCUUCCCAUGGACUGGGAGCUUCUUAGCACAGGAAGCCCGGAUCCAAAGCACCGUUUCUGCUCCCAGUGCUUCUUUCUUGGUGGCAUGAGGUCCCCAUUCUCUGCUGGCUUCCCUUUCUUUUUAUCUCUUGUAAAAAAGAGAAAAAAGGAUAAAAGGUGGUGCAGGCCAACUCCAGAGAAACUUCCUUUACACUGGAUCACGGAUAUGACCUUAGUAAGGGUGUUAUAAUCCCACCCUAAUCCUCUUUACCAUAAAAUUACAAUCACAAAGUAGAGGAUAACCACAAAAUACUGGGAAUCAUGGCCUAACCACGUUGACGCAUCUUUUGGGUGGACACAUUCAAUCCAUGACAUUCUGCCCAAUGGUCUCCAAAAAUUCAUGUCCUUGCUACAUGUAAGACACAUUCACCCUAUCACAUCACAUCACAGCAAAAGCCCUAAAUCAACUCCAAGUCCAAAAUCCACAAAUUCUUCUUUACCUGUGAAAUCUAGAAUACAAGUUUGUUUGCUUCCAAAGUACAAUGGCAAACCAGGCACAAACUAGAUAUUUCCAUUACAAAUGGGAGAAAUUGCAGGGAAAGUAGUGAUGACAGGAGUAAAGAAAGUCUAUAGAAUAUAUUCCAUUAGCCCUCAAGGCUGGAAAAUAAUCCUCUGUUCUCUGAGAGGAUUCACACAAUGGCCCUGCCCUCCAGACUCCAGGUAUUGGUCGCAUUCUCUGGAUUCUGAGUCGAGGCCCCUGGGCCCUGGGCUUUAGCUCCGACUUUCAGGCCCAGGCAAUAAGACUUACCAAAAUAAAAUUAAAAACAUACAUAAAUGGAUGGAAAAGGUAUAAUAUGCAAACACCAAACAAAAGAAUGUUCGACUUGCUUUGCUCAUACCAAAUAACAUAGGUUUCAGAGUAAAAGUAUAUUAGCAUAAACAGACGGAGAAUAAAAACAAUAAAAGGGUUAAUUCACCUAGAAAAUAUAAUAACCCUAUGGCAGCGGAUUUUUUUUUUCUUUUCUUGGUUUAAAAGUCUAUGUCUCUAUUACGAGAGAUUCAAAAUACAAUGAAAAAAAAAAAAACUAAUGGGAGGAGGAGCCAAGAUGGCGGACUCGACAGACACAUCCUUGGCGCCCUCUUUACAACAAAGACCCGAAAAAACAAGUGAAAGAGUAUAUUUGUAACAAGCUGGGAGCCUUGAGCAUCAAAGGCAAGCUUAGACAACAAACUGAGGGGUAGGGGAAGGAAGGGACCUUUCAGAAGCGGAGAGGAGUUGCCGGCCCUGAAUCGUGGGGAGCCCUCAGGCACCAUUCCCGGAGCAGCGGAGGUGGCAGCGGCGGGCGGGUCCUAGCGUUUGGCCGCAGUCUCCUCGGGGAGAAGCAGCAGCCACACAGCCCACUCACACCUCCAGAACCUGAACAGAAGGGCACUCUCCGCAAAAGCUAAGUACUUGCGGAUAUUUUACUGAGCCCCCCCACCCCCACGCCAGCUACAGCGGCUGAAUCCCUAGGCCUGAGAUAGACCCUGGUGAGCACCUGGAGCCGUCCUCCUGGCCUUGGGGAAGGAAAAAAAAUGCAACUGGGGGGAAGAGGUAAUUUGCUAGCUCCAUUAACUGGGGAAUCUCAGGACAGAAGCGACUCCCGUCCAGGCAUAAACCGUCUGUGGACCUUGAGCACCUUUCCCUUCUUCAUGGACCUGUGUGGGCCUAUUUCGGGAGAAUAGGCCCUUGUUGGCAAAGUCCAAGCAUUUCAGCGGUGCCGUGGAGAGGUGGGCGUUUGAUGUUUGACAUUGCUUUGCCUAUUAAACAGGGUCCUCACCUACCCACAUCAGGGACCUGAGGACUGGUAGCUCCACUCAGGUCACCCAGCCACCCGCGACAGGGGUCCAAAGAUAACUGGUACCUCCCACUCCUUACAACCUGAAACUUUGGGUGCCCAUGGUCCGUCUGCAGGACCCACCCUCCAGCAUGCUCUAGGGAACAGAGAUGCGUUUUUCUCAGAGACACUUGGGGGUCAGUUCUUAGUCCCCUGCCUUGUUCAGAGCUUGAGCCUCUGCUGCAAUCAGAUACCGGUAUCUACGCCAAUCACCCCUGCCCCUCUAAGACUGCAGGACAGAGCCUGUACCACACACUUGAUGAUCAGCUACCUGGAAACCUGAGCUGAAUUCAUACAAGAAAACUGAAUGGACUCCUAGACUGAUAUACCUGAUAACACAUCUAGCCAGCUGGAGACAGGACACCAGAGUUCCAAAGCUGAAAACAAUCAAGUUAGCUCACUCAAGCAACCCAUAGCGGUAUACCAAAACAAAACAAAGCAAGCAGCUACGACACAGGAAGCAAGCAUAAACUAAGACAAUAACUUAUAGAUGGCUCGGAGACAACAGUCAAUAUCAAGUCAGGUAAAGAAACAGACCAUGAUCACCUCAACAGGCUCUCAGAACAAAGAAUCCAGGGAUCUUCUAGAUGAAAGUGCAUUCCUGGAAUUACCAGAUGCAGAAUACAAAAGUUUAAUACACAGAACACUUUAGGACAUCAGGAAGGAAAUGAGGUAAUACACAGAACGAGCCAAGGAACACACAGAUAAAGCAACUGAAGAAAUUAGAAAGAUUAUUCAGGAACAUUAUGAAAAGUUUUAUAAGCUGGGAAAAUCCAUAGACACACAACAAUAAGGAAUUCAGAAGAUUAACAAUAAAAUUACAGAUUUAGACAACUCCGUGGAAAGUCAGAGGAGCAGAAUUGAGCAAGUAGAAGCUAAAAUUUCUGAACUCGAAGUUAAAUCACUUGGCACUAAUAUAUUUGAAGAAAAAUCAGAUAAAAGAAUUGAGAAAAAUGAAGAAACCUUAAGAAUCAUGUAUGUGGGACUCUAUCAAGAGAAAUAAGCUACGAGUGAUUGGAGUACCAAACAGGGAGGGAUAACAGAAAAUAUAGAGAAAAUUGCUGAAGAUUUGUUGGCAGAAAACUUUCCAGAUGUUGUGAAAGAUGACAGGAUAUCUAUCCAAGAUGCUCAUCGAACUCCACGUAAGGUGGAUGUUAAAAGAAAGUCACCAAGCCAUAUUAUAAUCAAACUUGCCAAAACCAAAGAUGAAGAGAGAACUAUAAGAGCAGUGAGGGAUAAACAAAAAGUCA